Molecule: non-coding RNA, 208 nt
Organism: Pelobates cultripes (western spadefoot toad)
Lineage: Eukaryota; Metazoa; Chordata; Amphibia; Anura; Pelobatidae
Source: the annotation of a GenBank genome assembly
GUUAAGAUCCUUUAACCUUUCCUGGUAAGUUUUAUCCUGCAAUCCAUGAACCAGUUUAGUAGCCCUUCUCUGAACUCUCUAAGGUAUCAAUAUCCUUCUGGAGAUACGGUCUCCAGUACUGCGUACAAUACUCCAAGUGAGGUCUCACCAGUGUUCUGUACAAUGGCAUGAGCACUUCCCUCUUUCUACUGCUAAUACCUCUCCCUAU